GUUUCUUCACAUAGUCCAUCAGCACCUCUACCUCUGCUUUGUUGAAGAAUGAAGGACUGCUGGCCUCGCGCUCGUCAACACCGGAGACCCCAUGGAAGAUCAAUGGGAAGUCCUUUGCGCAGCAGUUUGGUGACAAAGCGAUUGUUGAACACGCCCUCGUCCUUCUGGUACAGAGAGAAAUCAUUCAUCAUGCGCUCCAAGAGGGAAACACCUGCAGACAGCAGAACCUUUUAACUCCAGAAACAUGUCAAAUGGCAGCAUAUAACAAACACAAUGCAAAAGGGGAUUGGAGAAUGGGUCCGAGCUGUUUGGGAUCUCCAGCCAGAACAACCUGACCAGUCUCUGCAUGGAGCAGCCCUUUGUACAACGGAUAACAAAAAUCAAACAACACAUAAAGCCAAUUCGGUACAAUUACAGAAAACACACUGUUUGUUCUCUUUACCUGCUAGUGGUAUUAAACAUUGAGUCUCCGCAGCGUGACCUGCCUCGUCCACAAACACGUGACUGAAAUGUCCUGGAGGAACACCUCUUACGACCAGCCUGCAGAGAUCAGACACAUGGUACAUGUUAGUAAACUCACCCCCACACCAGUUCACGUUCAGAUUUGACUGUGUAUUGUGUAUGACAGAGAGUAUAAGCAGGAUCUAAAUGCUGUAGUGUGCUGUUUUUUUAGUGUCAUGCAGGUGAGCAAACUGCAGUGUGAGCCAUUCACUACCUUCCAGCAGUGAAUAGGGUGGUGACCAUGAUCCUAUACUCCAUCAGCUUCUUUUUAAGAGGAUGAUCGUAACUCUGCCCUUCCAGGUUUGAGCAUUCCUGUGAAAGUACGCCAAUGUCCAUGUACACAAACCUCAAUGGGACCAGAAUACAACAGCAUCAAACAUGCAAAGCACCAGGAAAUGCAGCAGUACUGCAGCAAGAAAGCGAGAAAAUGGCCCUGAUUCAUUGUGUCAUCUAUUGACACUCUCACAAUCACUUGGGAUUCAAGAGCACCCGGCACUGACCUUUAAC
Xiphias gladius (swordfish) is the source of this 1008-nucleotide long non-coding RNA. RefSeq lists it as uncharacterized. The record is from RefSeq and is a predicted model, not a curated record. Lineage: Eukaryota; Metazoa; Chordata; Actinopteri; Istiophoriformes; Xiphiidae. The transcript has 3 exons.